UUUUCUCUCCUGUCUCUUCUUCAAACUACUCGUUGGAAUAGCUGACUGCUAGCUUGCACGUGUGCUCUGCUGGUCUACUCGUCAGAUUUUGGAGUCUUGUAUCGUCGUUAUUCGUCUGAAGGUGAUCUGAGAACAGUUUGUCCUACAGCCUAUUGAGGGGCUGCAGUUUGUCAGAGAUCAGCUGUGCUUCUCUGGCCUCAGCUGUGAAGUCCAACCCCUCCCAUCUGAGAGAUCUGGACCUGAGAAAGUUGUGGUGACACUAAAGUGCAGACAUAAGGCUGAUAUUAUACUGAUCCACACUGAGGAUCUUAAUGCUAAAGUGUCUUUUCUUCUUCAGUGGUUUGGUCCAUUGACGGUGGCAGAGCAAUGUUGAGCUCCACAUUUAAAAGCUUAAUAUAACAAGAAACAUCUUCAUCAAACAUCAAAUCCAUGUUUUCACAGUAUUGUGGGAGUCAGAUCGUCACUGUUUAAAAGUAUUCCAGUUGUUUUAGAUCAGCCCAAACAAAGUGUUACCUGGAUGAUGACGUGCUUCAUCAAUACGUGACUGGACGACAGUACUCUGUGAUUGGUCGAUCAGCUCGCAGGUAACGUGGAGAGCUGGGAGAAGGUCUUACUUAUUGCUCAGGAACAUGUUUGUGAUUGUGAGACGAAUCUGGGAUGGAGGCAGUCCGCAGCUGCUGCGCACAACACGUGCACGUGUACGGCAACCAAAACCAGUAGGGCUCCAACCCCGGCAGCACAGUGCUCUGUAGAGGAGGCCAGUUUAGCGGCUGGAGAGGUGGUGGGCUGAGGCAGCGUGAAGUCUGACUCCCGCAUCAAUGGAGCCAUUGUUAUAUUCUUGGACAGCACGG
Long non-coding RNA from Micropterus dolomieu (smallmouth bass), 851 nucleotides. RefSeq lists it as uncharacterized. The record is from RefSeq and is a predicted model, not a curated record. The transcript is spliced from 3 exons. NCBI's taxonomy places the organism in Eukaryota, Metazoa, Chordata, Actinopteri, Centrarchiformes, Centrarchidae.